Molecule: ribosomal RNA, 493 nt
Filed under: uncultured Bacteroidota bacterium
Lineage: Bacteria; Pseudomonadati; Bacteroidota
Description: bacterial SSU rRNA
Rfam family: Bacterial small subunit ribosomal RNA
Source: RNAcentral
CAGCGGUGAAAGUUUGCAGCUUAACUGUAAAAAUGCCGUUGAAACUGUUAGACUUGAGUGUAAAUGAGGUAGGCGGAAUGCGUGGUGUAGCGGUGAAAUGCUUAGAUAUCACGCAGAACUCCGAUUGCGAAGGCAGCUUACCAAGCUACAACUGACACUGAAGCACGAAAGCGUGGGGAUCAAACAGGAUUAGAUACCCUGGUAGUCCACGCAGUAAACGAUGAUUACUAGCUGUUUGCGAUACACAGUAAGCGGCACAGCGAAAGCGUUAAGUAAUCCACCUGGGGAGUACGCCGGCAACGGUGAAACUCAAAGGAAUUGACGGGGGCCCGCACAAGCAGUGGAGUAUGUGGUUUAAUUCGAAGCAACGCGAAGAACCUUACCAGGUCUUGACAUCCAACUAACGAAGCAGAGAUGCAUCAGGUGCCCUUCGGGGAAAGUUGAGACAGGUGGUGCAUGGUUGUCGUCAGCUCGUGUCGUGAGAUGUUGGGUU